CCUACGGGUGGCAGCAGUGGGGAAUAUUGGGCAAUGGGGGCAACCCUGAUCCAGCCAUGCCGCGUGUGUGAAGAAGGCCCUCGGGUUGUAAAGCACUUUCAGUGAGGAAGAACGCCUGGUGGUUAAUACCCAUCAGGAAAGACAUCACUCACAGAAGAAGCACCGGCUAACUCCGUGCCAGCAGCCGCGGUAAUACGGAGGGUGCGAGCGUUAAUCGGAAUUACUGGGCGUAAAGCGCGCGUAGGUGGCUUGAUAAGCCGGUUGUGAAAGCCCCGGGCUCAACCUGGGAACGGCAUCCGGAACUGUCAAGCUAGAGUGCAGGAGAGGAAGGUAGAAUUCCCGGUGUAGCGGUGAAAUGCGUAGAGAUCGGGAGGAAUACCAGUGGCGAAGGCGGCCUUCUGGACUGACACUGACACUGAGGUGCGAAAGCGUGGGUAGCAAACAGGAUUAGAUACCCUAGUAGUC
This 465-nucleotide ribosomal RNA is filed under the name Vreelandella stevensii. Its description in RNAcentral is "partial 16S ribosomal RNA". It matches the Rfam family "Bacterial small subunit ribosomal RNA", at positions 338 to 795 of the family's 1533-position model. Lineage: Bacteria; Pseudomonadati; Pseudomonadota; Gammaproteobacteria; Oceanospirillales; Halomonadaceae. The record is from RNAcentral.